AACGCACGCUAGGGUUACCGCGGCUGCUGGCACGGAGUUAGCCGGUGCUUCUUCUGCGAGUAACGUCACAGAUGUAAAGGUAUUAACUUACACCCUUUUCCUCCUCGCUGAAAAGUGCUUUACAAACCCGAAGGCCUUCUUCACACACGCGGCAUGGGCUGCAUCAGGGUUUCCCCCAUUGUGCAAUAAUUCCCCACUGCUGCCUCCCGUAGGAGUCUGGGCCGUAGUCUC
This 231-nucleotide ribosomal RNA is filed under the name uncultured bacterium. RNAcentral describes it as "partial 16S ribosomal RNA". The record is from RNAcentral.